Molecule: ribosomal RNA, 1168 nt
Filed under: Mesocricetibacter intestinalis
Lineage: Bacteria; Pseudomonadati; Pseudomonadota; Gammaproteobacteria; Pasteurellales; Pasteurellaceae
Description: partial 23S ribosomal RNA
Rfam family: Bacterial large subunit ribosomal RNA
Source: RNAcentral
AUGGUUAAGUGACAAAGCGUACAGGGCGGAUGCCUUGGCAAUCAGAGGCGAAGAAGGACGUGCUAAUCUGCGAAAAGCUUGGAUGAGUUGAUAAGAAGCGUUUAAUCCAAGAUAUCCGAAUGGGGAAACCCGAUGGAUGAAGAAUCCAUCAUCGUUUAAUGAAUCCAUAGUUAAACGAGGCGAACCGGGAGAACUGAAACAUCUAAGUACCCCGAGGAAAAGAAAUCAACCGAGAUUCUGUGAGUAGCGGCGAGCGAAAGCGGAGCAGCCGUCAGUGAUAGCGACAGGGCGAGGAGAAUGUGCUGGGAAGCACAAUCGCAGAGGGUGAUAAUCCCGUAUCCGAAUGUUCUGUGGUGGUACUAAGCUGACAUCAAGUAGGGCGGGACACGAGAAAUCCUGUCUGAAGAAGGGGGGCCCAUCCUCCAAGGCUAAAUACUCCUGAUUGACCGAUAGUGAACCAGUACCGUGAGGGAAAGGCGAAAAGAACCCCGGCGAGGGGAGUGAAAUAGAACCUGAAACCCUGUACGUACAAGCAGUGGGAGCCUGUAAGGGUGACUGCGUACCUUUUGUAUAAUGGGUCAGCGACUUAUAUUUUGUAGCGAGGUUAACUGAAUAAGGGAGCCGAAGGGAAACCGAGUCUUAACUGGGCGUUGAGUUGCAAGGUAUAGACCCGAAACCCGGUGAUCUAGCCAUGGGCAGGUUGAAGGUUGGGUAACACUAACUGGAGGACCGAACCGACUAAUGUUGAAAAAUUAGCGGAUGACCUGUGGCUGGGGGUGAAAGGCCAAUCAAACCGGGAGAUAGCUGGUUCUCCCCGAAAUCUAUUUAGGUAGAGCCUUGAGCGGACACCUUCGGGGGUAGAGCACUGUUUCGGCUAGGGGUCCAUCCCGGAUUACCAACCCGAUGCAAACUGCGAAUACCGAAGAGUGAUACUCAGGAGACACACGGCGGGUGCUAACGUUCGUCGUGGAGAGGGAAACAACCCAGACCGCCAGCUAAGGUCCCAAAGUUUAUAUUAAGUGGGAAACGAAGUGGGAAGGCUUAGACAGCUAGGAUGUUGGCUUAGAAGCAGCCAUCAUUUAAAGAAAGCGUAAUAGCUCACUAGUCGAGUCGGCCUGCGCGGAAGAUGUAACGGGGCUCAAAUAUAGCACCGAAGCUGCGGCAUCAG